This 253-nucleotide ribosomal RNA is filed under the name uncultured bacterium. RNAcentral's name for it is "partial 16S ribosomal RNA". It matches the Rfam family "Bacterial small subunit ribosomal RNA", at positions 524 to 776 of the family's 1533-position model. The record is from RNAcentral.
UACGGAGGGGGCUAGCGUUGCUCGGAAUCACUGGGCGUAAAGCGCACGUAGGCGGCUUCUCAAGUCAGGGGUGAAAUCCUGGAGCUCAACUCCAGAACUGCCUUUGAUACUGAGGGGCUCGAGUCCGGGAGAGGUGAGUGGAACUGCGAGUGUAGAGGUGAAAUUCGUAGAUAUUCGCAAGAACACCAGUGGCGAAGGCGGCUCACUGGCCCGGUACUGACGCUGAGGUGCGAAAGCGUGGGGAGCAAACAGG